UUGCCAGCAGCCGCGGUAAUACGUAGGGCGCAGGCGUUAUCCGGAAUUAUUGGGCGUAAAGAGCUCGUAGGCGGUUUGUCGCGUCUGCCGUGAAAGUCCGGGGCUUAACCCCGGAUCUGCGGUGGGUACGGGCAGACUAGAGUGCAGUAGGGGAGACUGGAAUUCCUGGUGUAGCGGUGAAAUGCGCAGAUAUCAGGAGGAACACCGAUGGCGAAGGCAGGUCUCUGGGCUGUAACUGACGCUGAGGAGCGAAAGCAUGGGGAGCGAACAGGAUUAGAUACCCUGGUAGUCC
Molecule: ribosomal RNA, 292 nt
Filed under: uncultured microorganism
Description: partial 16S ribosomal RNA
Rfam family: Bacterial small subunit ribosomal RNA
Source: RNAcentral